GAAAAUCGUCCGAAAACAGUUUCCGAUUCCCAAUUUAAAGAUCUUUUGGAAUACUGGAAUUGUUCACUAAUCGAGAAAGAAGCAAAAAUUAAUAAAGGCAAUCGUGGAUCACUAGAUGAUAUGCAUACUAUGGGUCCGAAGUCAUACGCAAUGUUACGUCAUAAGUUGCAACAAGAGGAUCCGGAUAAGCAAGAGCCUUCACAAGAAAAGGUCUACAAAGAAUCGAGGAAAAGAAAUCCUGAAAAGACAUACCUCACCAACAACGAAAAAACUAUAUCCAAUAUUG
Long non-coding RNA from Beta vulgaris subsp. vulgaris (sugar beet), 286 nucleotides. RefSeq lists it as uncharacterized. Lineage: Eukaryota; Viridiplantae; Streptophyta; Magnoliopsida; Caryophyllales; Amaranthaceae. The transcript has 3 exons. The record is from RefSeq and is a predicted model, not a curated record.